RNAcentral lists this ribosomal RNA (426 nucleotides) under uncultured bacterium. RNAcentral's name for it is "partial 16S ribosomal RNA". It matches the Rfam family "Bacterial small subunit ribosomal RNA", at positions 354 to 796 of the family's 1533-position model. The record is from RNAcentral.
GUGAGGAAUUUUCCGCAAUGGGCGAAAGCCUGACGGAGCAAUGCCGCGUGAAGGAUGAAGGCCUAUGGGUUGUAAACUUCUUUUCUCAGAAAAGAAUUAUGACGGUAUCUGAGGAAUAAGCAUCGGCUAACUCUGUGCCAGCAGCCGCGGUAAGACAGAGGAUGCAAGCGUUAUCCGGAAUGAUUGGGCGUAAAGCGUCUGUAGGUUGUUUAAAAAGUAUUCUGUCAAAGAUUAGGGCUUAACCCUAGAUAGGCAGAAUAAACUUUUAAGCUAGAGUUUGGUAGAGGCAGCGGGAAUUCCCGGUGGAGCGGUGAAAGGCGUAGAUAUCGGGAGGAACACCAAAGGCGAAGGCACUCUGCUGGGCCAAUACUAACACUGAGAGACGAAAGCGAGGGGAGCAAAUGGGAUUAGAUACCCGAGUAGUCC